Molecule: ribosomal RNA, 634 nt
Filed under: Pratylenchus fallax
Lineage: Eukaryota; Metazoa; Nematoda; Chromadorea; Rhabditida; Pratylenchidae
Description: SSU rRNA
Rfam family: Eukaryotic small subunit ribosomal RNA
Source: RNAcentral
ACCGCGAACGGCUCAUUACAACAGCUAUAAUUUACUUGAUCUUGACAAACUUACAUGGAUAACUGAGGUAAUUCUUGAGCUAAUACAUGCACCAAAGCUUUGACCGCAAGGAAAGAGCGCAUUUGUUAGAACAAAACCAAACGGCUUCGGCUGUUCCCAGUUGAAUCAGAAUAACUCAGCUGAUCGUACGGUCUUGUACCGACGACGUGUCUUUCAAGUAUCUGCUUUAUCAACUUUCGAUGGUAGGGUAUCUGCCUACCAUGGUGGUGACGGAUAACGGAGGAUCAGGGUUCGACUCCGGAGAAGGGGCCUGAGAAAUGGCCACUACGUCUAAGGAUGGCAGCAGGCGCGCAAAUUACCCACUCUCAGAAUUUGGAGGAGGUAGUGACGAGAAAUAACGAGGUUGAUCUCUUCAGAGGCCAACCAUCGGAAUGGGUACAAUUUAAACCCUUUAACGAGUAUCUAUGAGAGGGCAAGUCUGGUGCCAGCAGCCGCGGUAAUUCCAGCUCUCAAAAUGCAUAGAAUUAUUGCUGCGGUUAAAAAGCUCGUAGUUGGAUCUGCAGCCGGGGCUCUGGUCCAUCUUCGGAUGCGUACUGGAUGUCUCCGGCUUUCUGACAGUGUUCGGCUCUGUGCC